Hippoglossus stenolepis (Pacific halibut) is the source of this 1461-nucleotide long non-coding RNA. RefSeq lists it as uncharacterized. The record is from RefSeq and is a predicted model, not a curated record. Lineage: Eukaryota; Metazoa; Chordata; Actinopteri; Pleuronectiformes; Pleuronectidae. The transcript is spliced from 2 exons.
CUUCUAAAAACUUAAUUCGUGGCUUUACAGAGCACGAGAAGGGGCCUUAGACCUUACACAGAGCAUGGCCGUAAAAAGUCUUUGUGGCUGCAUUACUUGGCUGUCAGAUAUCUGAUCUCUUCAAGACAUUAGAUAUGGAUCAGAGGGACACUAAAUGUGUUUUACACAUUGAGGGUUUGGCAGGAGCCAUCUAACCUAUACCAAACAGCUACCCUGCAUAAAGCUGACAGCAGAUUGAUUGUGAACAUACCGACCUGGCUGUCAAGGCCCAGCAGCAGCAGCAUGAUAAAGAAGAGGACGGCCCAGAGGGUUGGCAUCGGCAUCAUUGACACAGCUUUGGGGUAGGCGAUGAAGGCCAAGCCGGGACCUGGAAGCAGAACAGAGUGGGGAUGGGGAGAAGGGGGCAGAGGACAGAAUUAACAUUUCUAUCUGAUUUCAGCUUGGACGACAUACGGUAAGGGGAUCUGAAAAAAUAAUGUAAAGGCUGAGCUGAGCUAGAGACGCUGACAGGAAAUGCGAUCUAAUUUGGCCAUCAAUUGAGCAGCAGCAGCACCCACCGUUACUGCUACUGUCACCUUCGACCCUCGUACCUGACUCUGCCACAUCGGCAAUGUCCACCCCUUGUUCUUGUGCCAUGAAGCCCAGGACGGAAAAUAUUGCGAAGCCAGACACAAAACUGGUUCCGCUGUUGAGGCCUCCCAGCAGCAAACAGUCCCUAUGUCACACAUAUGUCGAGGAGGUUGUUAAUGAACACAGGUGGAACCGAAGUUCCCAUUUUCUUUUCACGCAACCGUCUCUGACACGAGUUGCUGUCACUACUACAGUCUCACUCAUCCCAGCGGAAACGCAGCUCACCUGUAGCAGUUGUACUUGUAUUUGUUGUAGCUCCCCAGUGACGUCAUGGCUCCCAGGCAAAUGGCGUAGGAGAAGAAAAUCUGGGUUCCUGCAUCAAUCCACACCUGAGGAGACAGAGGAAGAGGACUUGGUUUUGAGACGACUGGUAUCACUCUCAUGAAGAUGGUGGAUGUUGUUAGUUGCUUUCUGUCUUUAUGCUAAGAUAAUCUAACUGGCUGCAGGUUAUAGCUUCAAACUUUGCUUGAAAGUUUGAUCUAGUUUACCAGCAACUCACUAAGUAAACAUCUUUUCCAAGAGGACACCUGAGGACAGAAAUGUUAAUAAAAAAAAUUGGUUUUAAAAUUUACCUCUGGAUCUUGGAGUCGGGUCAAGUUGGGGUAAAGGUAAAAUUUGAUUCCUUCACUUGCCCCAGGCAGAGUCACACCACGGAUCAACAGCACAAUUAACAUCACGAAUGGGAAAGUCGCUGUUAUGUACACCACCUAGACAGGACACAGGAAUUGUUACUAAAAAUGCAGGAGAACAGUUAUAGACUUAGGACUCAUCAACCUUGAGAUACAACGGAAUAAGCUCUACCUCCAAAUAAACACGACUUCCCUAAGUUUU